GACGAACGCUGGCGGCGUGCUUAACACAUGCAAGUCGAACGGAAAGGCCCUGCUUUUGUGGGGUGCUCGAGUGGCGAACGGGUGAGUAACACGUGAGUAACCUGCCCUUGACUUUGGGAUAACUUCAGGAAACUGGGGCUAAUACCGGAUAGGAGCUCCUGCUGCAUGGUGGGGGUUGGAAAGUUUCGGCGGUUGGGGAUGGACUCGCGGCUUAUCAGCUUGUUGGUGGGGUAGUGGCUUACCAAGGCUUUGACGGGUAGCCGGCCUGAGAGGGUGACCGGCCACAUUGGGACGGGGAUACGGCCCAGACUCUUCCGGGGGGCAGCAGGGGGGAUUAUUGCACAUUGGGCGGAGGCCGGUUGAAGAAACGCCGCGUGCGGGAUGACGGCCUUCGGGUUGUAACCCGUUUUCGCCUGUGACAAACGGUGAGUGACGGUAAUGGGAAAGGAGGAACCGGCUACCUACUUG
Molecule: ribosomal RNA, 468 nt
Filed under: uncultured bacterium
Lineage: Bacteria
Description: partial 16S ribosomal RNA
Rfam family: Bacterial small subunit ribosomal RNA
Source: RNAcentral